This 253-nucleotide ribosomal RNA is filed under the name uncultured bacterium. RNAcentral describes it as "partial 16S ribosomal RNA". It matches the Rfam family "Bacterial small subunit ribosomal RNA", at positions 524 to 776 of the family's 1533-position model. The record is from RNAcentral.
UACGGGGGGGGCAAGCGUUGUUCGGAAUUACUGGGCGUAAAGGGCGCGUAGGCGGCUCGCUAAGUCGGAUGUGAAAACUCUGGGCUCAACCCAGAGCCUGCAUUCGAAACUGACGAGCUGGAGUUCUGGAGGGGAAAGCGGAAUUCCUGGUGUAGCGGUGAAAUGCGUAGAUAUCCGGAGGAACACCGGUGGCGAAGGCGGCUUCCUGGACCGACACUGACGCUGAGGCGCGAAAGCUAGGGGAGCAAACGGG